Molecule: ribosomal RNA, 482 nt
Filed under: uncultured bacterium
Lineage: Bacteria
Description: partial 16S ribosomal RNA
Rfam family: Bacterial small subunit ribosomal RNA
Source: RNAcentral
GACGAACGCUGGCGGCGUGCUUAACACAUGCAAGUCGAACGAUGAAGAAGAGCUUGCUCUUCGGAUUAGUGGCGAACGGGUGAGUAACACGUGACUAACCUGCCCCUUUCUCUGGGAUAACGCUCCGAAAGGAGUGCUAAUACCGGAUACUCACAUCGAGGCACAUGCCUUGAUGUGGAAAGUUUUUCGGAAAGGGAUGGAGUCGCGGCCUAUCAGCUUGUUGGUGAGGUAACGGCUCACCAAGGCGACGACGGGUAGCCGACGUGAGAGGGCGACCGGCCACGCGUGUACUGAUACACGGCACAGACUCCUACGGGGGGCAGCAGUGGGGAAUAUUGCACAAUGGUCGAAAGCCUGAUGCAGCGACGCCGCGUGAGGGAUGAAGGUCUUCGGAUUGUAAACCUCUUUCAGUAGGGACGAAGCGAAAGUGACGGUACCUAAAGAAGAAGCACCGGCUAACUACGUGCCAGCAGCCGCCGUAA